UACGUAGGCAGCAAGCGUUGUUCGGAAUUACUGGGCGUAAAGAGUGUGUAGGCGGUGCUCCAAGUCUGGUGUGAAAUCUCCCGGCUUAACUGGGAGGGUGCAGCGGAAACUAGAGUGCUAGAGGGUGGGAGAGGUAAGCGGAAUUCCUGGUGUAGCGGUGAAAUGCGUAGAUAUCAGGAGGAACACCUGUGGUGUAGACAGCUUACUGGACCACUUCUGACGCUGAGACACGAAAGCGUGGGUAGCAAACAGG
RNAcentral lists this ribosomal RNA (253 nucleotides) under uncultured bacterium. RNAcentral's name for it is "partial 16S ribosomal RNA". It matches the Rfam family "Bacterial small subunit ribosomal RNA", at positions 524 to 776 of the family's 1533-position model. The record is from RNAcentral.